RNAcentral lists this ribosomal RNA (486 nucleotides) under uncultured bacterium. RNAcentral describes it as "partial 16S ribosomal RNA". It matches the Rfam family "Bacterial small subunit ribosomal RNA", at positions 899 to 1397 of the family's 1533-position model. The record is from RNAcentral.
ACUCAAAUGAAUAGACGGGGACUCGCACAAGUGGUGGAUUAUGUGGCUUAAUUCGUCGGUAAACGAAGAACCUUACCAAGGUUAGAAAUCCAGCUGCAUCUCGACCGAAAGGACGGGAGCCUUCGAGGGUGCUGGACAGGUGAUGCAUGGUCGUCGUCAGUUCGUGGUUUGAACUGUUCCCUUCAGUGGGGUAACGAACGCAACCCCCGUUGUCUGUUGUCUACGGACCAGGCGAGACUGCUCCCUCACGGGAGAGGAAGGUGGGGAUGACGCCAGAUCAGCAUGUCCCUCUGAUACCUUGGGCUGCACACAUAAUACAAUGGUCGGUACAACAGGAUGCAAUGCCGCAAGGUGGAGCUAAUCCAAAAAACCGUCCUCAGUACGGAUCGAGGUCUGCAACCGACCUCGUGAAGCUGGAAUCACUAGUAAUGGCAGGUCAGCUAAACUGCCGUGAAUACGUUCUCGAGUCUUGUACACACCGCCCGU